UAAGUAAGCUUUGAUCCAGAGAUUUCCGAAUGGGGAAACCCAGCAUGAGUUAUGUCAUGUUAUCGAUAUGUGAAUACAUAGCAUAUCAGAAGGCACACCCGGAGAACUGAAACAUCUUAGUACCCGGAGGAAGAGAAAGAAAAUUCGAUUCCCUUAGUAGCGGCGAGCGAAACGGGAAGAGCCCAAACCAACAAGCUUGCUUGUUGGGGUUGUAGGACACUCUAUACGGAGUUACAAAGGACGACAUUAGACGAAUCAUCUGGAAAGAUGAAUCAAAGAAGGUAAUAAUCCUGUAGUCGAAAAUGUUGUCUCUCUUGAGUGGAUCCUGAGUACGACGGAGCACGUGAAAUUCCGUCGGAAUCUGGGAGGACCAUCUCCUAAGGCUAAAUACUCUCUAGUGACCGAUAGUGAACCAGUACCGUGAGGGAAAGGUGAAAAGCACCCCGGAAGGGGAGUGAAAUAGAACCUGAAACCGUGUGCUUACAAGUAGUCAGAGCCCGUUAAUGGGUGAUGGCGUGCCUUUUGUAGAAUGAACCGGCGAGUUACGAUUUGAUGCAAGGUUAAGCAGUAAAUGUGGAGCCGUAGCGAAAGCGAGUCUGAAUAGGGCGUUUAGUAUUUGGUCGUAGACCCGAAACCAGGUGAUCUACCCUUGGUCAGGUUGAAGUUCAGGUAACACUGAAUGGAGGACCGAACCGACUUACGUUGAAAAGUGAGCGGAUGAACUGAGGGUAGCGGAGAAAUUCCAAUCGAACCU
This 754-nucleotide ribosomal RNA is filed under the name Staphylococcus aureus. RNAcentral's name for it is "partial 23S ribosomal RNA". It matches the Rfam family "Bacterial large subunit ribosomal RNA", at positions 89 to 840 of the family's 2925-position model. The record is from RNAcentral. Lineage: Bacteria; Bacillati; Bacillota; Bacilli; Caryophanales; Staphylococcaceae.